RNAcentral lists this ribosomal RNA (1187 nucleotides) under Limosilactobacillus fermentum. RNAcentral describes it as "bacterial SSU rRNA". It matches the Rfam family "Bacterial small subunit ribosomal RNA", at positions 33 to 1181 of the family's 1533-position model. Lineage: Bacteria; Bacillati; Bacillota; Bacilli; Lactobacillales; Lactobacillaceae. The record is from RNAcentral.
CGGCCCGUGAGGGGCCCUAUAAUGCAGUCGACGCGUUGGCCCAAUUGAUUGAUGGUGCUUGCACCUGAUUGAUUUUGGUCGCCAACGAGUGGCGGACGGGUGAGUAACACGUAGGUAACCUGCCCAGAAGCGGGGGACAACAUUUGGAAACAGAUGCUAAUACCGCAUAACAACGUUGUUCGCAUGAACAACGCUUAAAAGAUGGCUUCUCGCUAUCACUUCUGGAUGGACCUGCGGUGCAUUAGCUUGUUGGUGGGGUAACGGCCUACCAAGGCGAUGAUGCAUAGCCGAGUUGAGAGACUGAUCGGCCACAAUGGGACUGAGACACGGCCCAUACUCCUACGGGAGGCAGCAGUAGGGAAUCUUCCACAAUGGGCGCAAGCCUGAUGGAGCAACACCGCGUGAGUGAAGAAGGGUUUCGGCUCGUAAAGCUCUGUUGUUAAAGAAGAACACGUAUGAGAGUAACUGUUCAUACGUUGACGGUAUUUAACCAGAAAGUCACGGCUAACUACGUGCCAGCAGCCGCGGUAAUACGUAGGUGGCAAGCGUUAUCCGGAUUUAUUGGGCGUAAAGAGAGUGCAGGCGGUUUUCUAAGUCUGAUGUGAAAGCCUUCGGCUUAACCGGAGAAGUGCAUCGGAAACUGGAUAACUUGAGUGCAGAAGAGGGUAGUGGAACUCCAUGUGUAGCGGUGGAAUGCGUAGAUAUAUGGAAGAACACCAGUGGCGAAGGCGGCUACCUGGUCUGCAACUGACGCUGAGACUCGAAAGCAUGGGUAGCGAACAGGAUUAGAUACCCUGGUAGUCCAUGCCGUAAACGAUGAGUGCUAGGUGUUGGAGGGUUUCCGCCCUUCAGUGCCGGAGCUAACGCAUUAAGCACUCCGCCUGGGGAGUACGACCGCAAGGUUGAAACUCAAAGGGAAUUGACGGGGGCCCGCACAAGCGGUGGAGCAUGUGGUUUAAUUCGAAGCUACGCGAAGAACCCUUACCAGGUCUUGACAUCUUGCGCCAACCCUAGAGAUAGGGCGUUUCCUUCGGAACGCAUGACAGUGCUGCAUGUCGUCGUCAGCUCGUGUCGUGAGAUGUUGAAUAGUCCCGCACGAGCGCAACCCUUGGUACUAGUUGGCAAGCAAUUUAGGUUGCACUCUAGUGAGCACCUGACUGUGACCAACCGGCAGGAAGGUGGGGUAC